GACGAACGCUGGCGGCGUGCUUAACACAUGCAAGUCGAACGGAAAGGCCCUGCUUUUGUGGGGUGCUCGAGUGGCGAACGGGUGAGUAACACGUGAGUAACCUGCCCUUGACUUUGGGAUAACUUCAGGAAACUGGGGCUAAUACCGGAUAGGAGCUCCUGCUGCAUGGUGGGGGUUGGAAAGUUUCGGCGGUUGGGGAUGGACUCGCGGCUUAUCAGCUUGUUGGUGGGGUAGUGGCUUACCAAGGCUUUGACGGGUAGCCGGCCUGAGAGGGUGACCGGCCAGAUUGGGACUGGGAUACGGCGCGGGCUCCUACGGGGGGCAGCAGGGGGGAGUAUUGCACAAUGGGCGGGAGCCGGAUGCAGCAACGCCGAGGGCGGGAUGACGGCCUUCUGGUUGGAAACCGCUUACGCCGGUGACGAAGCGUGAGUGACGGUAAUGGGUAAAGAAGCACCGGCUAACUACGUG
Molecule: ribosomal RNA, 468 nt
Filed under: uncultured bacterium
Lineage: Bacteria
Description: partial 16S ribosomal RNA
Rfam family: Bacterial small subunit ribosomal RNA
Source: RNAcentral